CUCCAGCCAGAAUGGAGCCUAACCUGGAUACACUCCUGCCAAGCAGGGAGGCAGGGGAUGAAGAUCCCAGACAGAAAAAAAAGGAUAAACAACAAUGAUGGAGAGAUUGUGAAGCAGACAGAGAGAGUCUAGAACCUUCUCACCUCCCUCUCUCUCUCUCUCUCUCUCUCUCUCUCUCUCUCUGUUGCGUCCACCAGAGAUUUACUGAGACAUGGAAACAUCGCGGGAAGUCUGAAGGGAUUCAGUCCCACACUUACUGGAGACGGCAGCCGUAGGCCAGAGAAUCAGAACCAGUUACGUGUGCCAGUGCAGGGCCCAGGUCAGCUGGCCAACAGCACGCAUUCAGACUGAUGUUCACACGUUCUCUCUCGAGAGCCCGUGUAAAGAUGACGGAUAUGGAGUCGCUUACCUGUAUGACAGAUUGAAGGACCAGGUAUGGAACGACAGAGGAGAGAGGAGAAAAACCUAGAUGGAGGCGGCCCCGCCCUGCCUGUUGUCGUGGCGACCUGAAGGUGACGGACAAUUUGAUGAAUGGCCCCUACAGCUGCUCCUUUCACAAGGCUGCCGACACCCCAUGGAAUUUACAGGGUGAUGAAACAUUCUCAGUGAAGAGUCCAUGAACAUUCCCAGUGAAGGGAUGAGUCCAUGAACAUUCCAGUCAAGGGAAGAGUCUAUGAACAUCUCAGUGAAGGGAAGAGUCCAUGAACAUUCCCAGUGAAGAGUUCAUGAACAUUCCCAGAGAAGGGAAGAGCCCAUAAAAGUUCCCAGUGAAGAGUCCAUGAACAUCCCAGUGAAGAGAAGAGUCCAUGCGAUGCUUUAAACUUCAUCCAUCAGAGUGGGUGGGAAACUGGCAGUCAUUUGCCUGAAAAGCUCAACUGUGUUAUGACACUGGAACCCAAUCGAUGACACAGAGGGAGACACGCUCGCUCCAAACAAACCAGGCAGUUGCCGCUAAUGGAUCGGCACGAAAGAAUCAAUAACCGUAACGUCCCCCCGGACACUCUGCUCGGCGUCUCCAAAGGAACAAUGGCAUUAUGGGCCCUUUGCUGGGGGGGAGGACUGCCAUUUACGGAGAAUAAAAGACAAUCAGAGGAUCAGAGGAUGAUGGUUUGGAGAGAGGUGCAUGUUCUCUUUUGAUUUUAUCACAAGGUACGUUCUGGUUCCAACUAAGCACAGCUUAGUAUACAGCUGAAGCCAUCAGCAAUUCAUGAAUUUUAUACAUUUAUCAUCAUUUUAUUUUUAAGAUGUUCCAAGGAAUCCCAGAAACUUGAGCGAUUCCUUUACGUUCCUUACGUUCCUGUCCAUGGUCCUGAAACGUUGCUCAUGAACUAAUGGCCAUGUCAAAAGUGAAAAGGGAAACACCCCUGAAUUUAACAGAAAAAAAACUAACAGCAGAACACCUGUGUGUCCUGCUGAGCACUCCAGCAGUGGACAUGGCGUCCAUAUCACACACUAGAGCCUGCAGCAUGCAGCGUGCUGUCCGUUGUCCUAAAACCAAAGAGAUGCGAAAACCCAAAGGCUGCGGUCACUGUUGUGAAAUCUUCCCAUGAUGUCACCAGGUGGUUUUCCACUCUUAAAAGUGCACAGUCUUUAAGGAAGAGCUAUCAACAUAUCCCUGGUAUUAAUCAGACUUUAAUUAACACCUUGAUAUAUAAGUCCAACUGGACACAUAAACACUGUAAGGGUUUACUCAAUAAGUAAUAAAGUGUUAUUUCACAGG
This is a long non-coding RNA of Electrophorus electricus (electric eel), 1720 nucleotides long. RefSeq lists it as uncharacterized. NCBI's taxonomy places the organism in Eukaryota, Metazoa, Chordata, Actinopteri, Gymnotiformes, Gymnotidae. The record is from RefSeq and is a predicted model, not a curated record.